GCUCGCUUCGGUAGCGCGUAUACUAAAAUUGGAACAAUACAUAGACUAUUAGCAUGACCUCUGCACAGGAUGACAUGCAAAUUCAUGAAGUAUUCCAUAUUUUC
Suncus etruscus (white-toothed pygmy shrew) is the source of this 104-nucleotide small nuclear RNA. Lineage: Eukaryota; Metazoa; Chordata; Mammalia; Eulipotyphla; Soricidae. The record is from RefSeq and is a predicted model, not a curated record.